CUACUUAGGAUGGUUAAAGUUAUGCUAUGGUUGGUUGCCAAAGCUAAUAAUUCAGAUUACCAUUAUGAAGGAUCGAUAGAACAUUUAGAAUAAUAUCUGUUGCGUAAGAUGAACCACAAUUAGAAGCACAACAUUUUUUCAUAUCUCGAGCUUGACCAGCCACAUCCUUUAAGUGGAUCGAAAUAAAAACUCUAGGCAUAGGAAUUUUCCGAAGGAGCAAAUUUAGGCCACAGCCAACUGGAAAGCUGGAACCACCCAU
RNAcentral lists this long non-coding RNA (259 nucleotides) under Elaeis guineensis (African oil palm). Its description in RNAcentral is "long non-coding RNA (EGUI_LNC013902)". The record is from RNAcentral. Lineage: Eukaryota; Viridiplantae; Streptophyta; Magnoliopsida; Arecales; Arecaceae.